This 199-nucleotide non-coding RNA is filed under the name Thalassomonas actiniarum. RNAcentral's name for it is "FMN sequence". It matches the Rfam family "FMN riboswitch aptamer (RFN element)". Rfam says of the family: The RFN element is a highly conserved domain that is found frequently in the 5'-untranslated regions of prokaryotic mRNAs that encode for flavin mononucleotide (FMN) biosynthesis and transport proteins. This element is a metabolite-dependent riboswitch that directly binds FMN in the absence of proteins. Lineage: Bacteria; Pseudomonadati; Pseudomonadota; Gammaproteobacteria; Alteromonadales; Colwelliaceae. The record is from Rfam by way of RNAcentral.
AUAAUUCUUCAGGGCGGGGUGGAAUUCCCCACCGGCGGUGAUUAAUUUGCAAAAAUUAUCAGCCCGCGAGCGCUUUACCGUGAGUAGCAAACAUGUGGUAAAGGUCCAGCAGAUCCGGUGUCAAUCCGGAGCCGACGGUUCAGGGUAAAAUCGUUAUCUCAGCGAUAGUCCCGUAAAGUCCGGAUGGGAGAAGAAAAAU